GUGAAUCAUCGAAUUUUUGAACGCAAAUUGCACUCUCUGGUAUUCCGGAGAGUAUGCCUGUUUGAGAAUCAGUUUAAAUAAAAAUCGGUUUGUUUGCUGCCUUUCGUGGUGACUCACCGGAUGUGGGUCGUCUUGCCUUCGGUUAAGUGACCUAAAAUUUUGCAUGAUUUUUUCGAACUUAUUUAAAUUGUUUUACGUACUUUUGCUAUAUCGAAUACUAGUUGCGUUCAUCCUCAUGAUCCGCUCCUAUAAUUUCUCAUCAAAAUUAC
RNAcentral lists this unclassified non-coding RNA (269 nucleotides) under Glomeraceae sp. RNAcentral's name for it is "partial contains 5.8S ribosomal RNA and internal transcribed spacer 2". The stretch from base 1 to 71 matches the Rfam family "5.8S ribosomal RNA", at positions 84 to 154 of the family's 154-position model. The record is from RNAcentral. Lineage: Eukaryota; Fungi; Glomeromycota; Glomeromycetes; Glomerales; Glomeraceae.